GGGGGUGUAACUCAGUGGUAGAAUGCUUGUCUAGCAUGCAUGAGGCCCUGGGUUUGAUCCUCAGCACCACCA
This 72-nucleotide transfer RNA is filed under the name Ictidomys tridecemlineatus (thirteen-lined ground squirrel). RNAcentral's name for it is "Spermophilus tridecemlineatus (thirteen-lined ground squirrel) tRNA". It matches the Rfam family "tRNA". Rfam says of the family: Transfer RNA (tRNA) molecules are approximately 80 nucleotides in length. Their secondary structure includes four short double-helical elements and three loops (D, anti-codon, and T loops). Lineage: Eukaryota; Metazoa; Chordata; Mammalia; Rodentia; Sciuridae. The record is from Rfam by way of RNAcentral.